Brassica rapa (field mustard) is the source of this 1665-nucleotide RNA transcript. It is a transcript of the gene named homeobox-leucine zipper protein HDG11, with no coding region annotated. Lineage: Eukaryota; Viridiplantae; Streptophyta; Magnoliopsida; Brassicales; Brassicaceae. The record is from RefSeq and is a predicted model, not a curated record.
UCUAGGAUGCCACAUAGGAAAAUGGCGUAGCGACACGUGUCCAGAUAGCAGCGUUUCAUUAAAAAAAUUUGUGCACUUCGGUUAGGCUUUUAUUUUUGCUGGGCUUCGUGGUUGAGACUUCUGCGCAAUUUGGAUGGGCUUUCCGUGUUCUUCUUCGCCUCUCCAGCACCCAUGUCGAUUAGGUUUUUCCAAUAGCUCUCUCAUCUUCUUCCUCAACCUAAGAAACUAUACUAUCAACAAAUAAUCAUCUUAAAAAAACUCCAUUAAUCUCUCACACACAAUCUAUAAUCAAUGCGAUUUCUGGAUCUACAAGACGGUGAAAAUUCAUCUAUAAAAAAAGUAUGAUUUCCUUCUUAGAGAAUCAUCCUUUCUUUCUUCUAAGCUAACAAAUAAACUAAUUAUGUGAGAUAUGGCUAACGUUUUGGUAUUCCUCUCCACCUCCACUGUUCGAGUCCAGUUGCUCCUCUUGGUUCUCACUUCUCAGGUAUCUUAAUUAGCUCCACCAUUUGUUCAUAAACAGUAUUUCACAACCCAACAAAUUGUGAAAGUUCAAUUGUUCAAUUCAACUUUAGAUAUUCUUUUUUUUUGCUAAAGUUUUCAGUUCAAUUGUGGUUUAAGAGUUAUGUUUAAAUGUUGAUAAAAAAAGAGAUAUGUUUAAAUGUUCUCUUGGAGUAUAUAUAUGAUCGUAUACCAGUUGUUUAUGUUCUGAAACAGAAAAUCAAAUCUGUGUUGAUUUUGGUGUACGGAACUGGUGGACCAGAGGAGGAAGAUAAUUGAUGGCCGCCUGAAACCUCUUCUUAAAGAGCAGUUCUUUGUUUACUGCAAGUUUCAUGUAGACUCUCACAAGGGUGAUUGCAAUAUGUAUUACUUAGAUUGCACCAACGGCGAGCUUUGCUCUCUUUGUCUUGCCCAUCACAAAGAUCACCUCACCAUCCAAUCCAAGUGUGUUCUUGCUAUAAUCUUAAUUAGUUUUUUUGGUUGGUUGUGCUAUGUGGUUAGGUUUUGCCUUUGUAUUGAUUGGUUUUGGCAGAUAGGUCGAUCUUUAGGUCUAUAUAGGUCUAUAUCAAUAGCCUGCCACAGUUCUUGGAUCCAUAACUUGACAAUAUUUUAUCCCUCAUCCAAUCAGCGAAUCUCCACUUAUAAAAAAGGUUAUUGGAGGAGACAGUGGUGGUGGUAGCCAACAUCAUUACGGCACUGAAACUCAUAGGAAGAAGAAACGUUACCAUCAUCACACCGCUCAACAAAUUCAACGACUUGAAUCGAGUUUCAAGGAGUGUCUUCAUCCAGAUGAUAAGCAGAGGAACCAACUUAGCAGAGAAUUGGGUUUGGCUCCAAGACAAAUCAAGUUCCGGUUCCAGAACAUAAGAACUCAGCUUAAUGCGCAACAUGAGAGAGCAGAUAACAAUGCACUAGAGGCAGAGAAAGACAAGAUUCGAUGCGAGAACAUAGCCAUUAGAGAAGCACUCAAGCAUGCUAUAUGCCCUAACUGUGGAGGUCCUCCCGUUAAUGCUUGUCUUUUCCAGUUAAAUUAAUGAGUUUUCCUUAAUCAAAUUUAAACUUAAUAUCAUUAAAUACAUCAUAUAUUUAAUGUAAUUUAUUACGGACGAGUACGGCCCAAUAAUGAACUUGAAUUUUAUUUUUUACGAAAACGUGAAUCACUUGACA